GGGGGGGCUAUACAUGCAAGUCGAGCGAAUGGAUUAAGAGCUUGCUCUUAUGAAGUUAGCGGCGGACGGGUGAGUAACACGUGGGUAACCUGCCCAUAAGACUGGGAUAACUCCGGGAAACCGGGGCUAAUACCGGAUAACAUUUUGAACCGCAUGGUUCGAAAUUGAAAGGCGGCUUCGGCUGUCACUUAUGGAUGGACCCGCGUCGCAUUAGCUAGUUGGUGAGGUAACGGCUCACCAAGGCAACGAUGCGUAGCCGACCUGAGAGGGUGAUCGGCCACACUGGGACUGAGACACGGCCCAGACUCCUACGGGAGGCAGCAGUAGGGAAUCUUCCGCAAUGGACGAAAGUCUGACGGAGCAACGCCGCGUGAGUGAUGAAGGCUUUCGGGUCGUAAAACUCUGUUGUUAGGGAAGAACAAGUGCUAGUUGAAUAAGCUGGCACCUUGACGGUACCUAACCAGAAAGCCACGGCUAACUACGUGCCAGCAGCCGCGGUAAUACGUAGGUGGCAAGCGUUAUCCGGAAUUAUUGGGCGUAAAGCGCGCGCAGGUGGUUUCUUAAGUCUGAUGUGAAAGCCCACGGCUCAACCGUGGAGGGUCAUUGGAAACUGGGAGACUUGAGUGCAGAAGAGGAAAGUGGAAUUCCAUGUGUAGCGGUGAAAUGCGUAGAGAUAUGGAGGAACACCAGUGGCGAAGGCGACUUUCUGGUCUGUAACUGACACUGAGGCGCGAAAGCGUGGGGAGCAAACAGGAUUAGUCCUUUUGUU
RNAcentral lists this ribosomal RNA (769 nucleotides) under Bacillus cereus. RNAcentral describes it as "bacterial SSU rRNA". It matches the Rfam family "Bacterial small subunit ribosomal RNA", at positions 41 to 791 of the family's 1533-position model. Lineage: Bacteria; Bacillati; Bacillota; Bacilli; Caryophanales; Bacillaceae. The record is from RNAcentral.